GCGCCGCCAUUUUUGAUUCUUGUCAGUCAGAUUACCUGGCAAACUAGCAGUGGUUCCGUGUGCAUUGUGUAUCUGACGUUGAACAAGACCAUAAGGACGUCAGUGAUGAAAAUGGUGUGCCCGAAAGCUUAUUUGUAUGGGAGAAGAAUUUCAAUUAUGCUAUCGAUGAAUAGUAAUAGCACCUAA
RNAcentral lists this unclassified non-coding RNA (186 nucleotides) under Caenorhabditis elegans. RNAcentral's name for it is "Non-coding transcript of protein-coding gene srt-19". The record is from RNAcentral. Lineage: Eukaryota; Metazoa; Nematoda; Chromadorea; Rhabditida; Rhabditidae.